Long non-coding RNA from Carya illinoinensis, 621 nucleotides. RefSeq lists it as uncharacterized. Lineage: Eukaryota; Viridiplantae; Streptophyta; Magnoliopsida; Fagales; Juglandaceae. The transcript is spliced from 2 exons. The record is from RefSeq and is a predicted model, not a curated record.
GUUUUAAUUUUGAUCCAAAAUUUUGGGCAUUUUAUGCUAACUUUGCUUGCUAAUUAUUGUGUAUGUGUAGGAGCUACCUGUGAGCAGCAAGAAGACAGUCAUUCCUCAUCAAGUGAUUGAAAUUCAGGGAGUUCUUAUGGGAGUGAUUCGGACGCCGAUAAUGCAUAGUCAUGAAGUUGCAUUGAAUUAAUUGAAAUGGCCUCCCAAGAGUGGAAUCAAGUGGAGAGGUGGAUCAUAAAGUUUGUGCUAUAUAAUUGUCUUCGAUAAAUUUCAUUUGUACUUUUUGGUAUGAGCUGAAUUACGAAGAAGCUCUUUCGAUACAGGGGAUGGGUGUUAAAAUCGGUGAAGUGUGAUAUUGGCAUGAACGAUACAGCUUGCAUGAUGAUUUGUUGGCAUGAAAGCCUCUUUUUGCAGUGUCCGCAUAGACUUGUUAGCUAUUUCUCUUUUGCAUUCUUUUUUUUUUUUUCCUUUUCUUUGUUAUUGAUUUUACCUUGUAAAUUAUCAAUGGAACUAAAUCUAAAAUAAUCAUUACAGAAUCGAAGUGACUUCUUUUGGGACUAUUAUUUUCUCAUCUAAAUCAAUGUAUACUUGAAAGAGGAAUAUAGGGAUCAUCAUUUUUCU